This 207-nucleotide long non-coding RNA is filed under the name Hordeum vulgare. RNAcentral's name for it is "long non-coding RNA (HVUL_LNC007447)". The record is from RNAcentral. Lineage: Eukaryota; Viridiplantae; Streptophyta; Magnoliopsida; Poales; Poaceae.
CUCGGAAUCGCCCAAUUCUGCUGAAAAAAUCUCGCCGAAAAACCACCAGGCCUGGAGCUUUGAGAAGACCAAUCUGAAAAUGAGCAUCACUAAUCUCCUGGUUGGUAAACAGUUAGCAUGUAACCGCCAUUCAUCUCAGUGCUUACUUUAGGCUGCACAAGAGAUAUUUUAGGCAAUGGGUCCACAUUACUGUCAUGAGCAUAAAGC